CUCCUGUGACGCUGAAGGGGUUAAAACCCCUCCAGCAGCUUACCUUAUUCCAGCGCCGGGCUCCCUCAGCGCUGGUGACCUCUCCUCACCAUCCGAAGUCAGCUCCCCGUCCGACGUCAGUGGAGCUGAAUGCGCAUGCACAGCAAUGGCCGCGCGCCCAUUCAAAGUGUCCAUAGGAGAGCAUUUCUCAAUGCUUUCCAAUGGAGGCGAAAUUCGCCUCCUGCGUCUCAGAUGCGCCUCUGGUGGCUGUCCGGAAGACAGCCACUAGAGGCUGGAUUAACC
Non-coding RNA from Pelobates cultripes (western spadefoot toad), 282 nucleotides. The record is from the annotation of a GenBank genome assembly. NCBI's taxonomy places the organism in Eukaryota, Metazoa, Chordata, Amphibia, Anura, Pelobatidae.